CCCUUAGAUGUUCUGGGCCGCAUGCGCGCUACACUGACGAAUGCAACGAGCUUAUAACCUUGGCCGAAAGGUCUGGGUAAUCUCCAAAUUUCGUCGUGAUGGGGAUAGAUUAUUGCAAUUAUUAAUCUUCAACGAGGAAUGCCUAGUAAGCGCAAGUCAUCAGCUUGCGUUGAUUACGUCCCUGCCCUUUGUACACACCGCCCGUCGCUCCUACCGAUUGAAUGGUCCGGUGAAGCGUUCGGACCGUGGCCUUUGGACGGUUCGCCGUCUGUUGGCUGCGGGAAGUUCGUUAAACCUUAUCAUUUAGAGGAAGGAGAAGUCGUAACA
Molecule: ribosomal RNA, 327 nt
Filed under: uncultured eukaryote
Lineage: Eukaryota
Description: partial 18S ribosomal RNA
Rfam family: Eukaryotic small subunit ribosomal RNA
Source: RNAcentral